UUUAUUGGGCAAAAGCUCGUCUACUAAGUUUUACGGGGACAAUCUACUCAUAGAUCCAUCAAUUGAACUGGAUGUUCCUCUAAGAGCAAGUGAAACUACCUUUGAUUCAAGGGACAUGUUGAAGAGCUGCGAUCUUGAUGAUACAGACCUAAAUGCAACAGAAGAAGGGCUUUUGACGUUUAACCGAGAUGAUGAAAUUCCUAUACUUGAAAAGGCUUAUAAACUUAGUUCGUGGGAAAUUGUCAAAUGCAGCUUUUAUCUUGCUCCAAUAUGGUUUGCGACUGAGGUAAUUGUUUUUAUUCGAUUGUUGGCUUCAAAAUCACAUCUUAUCUUAAUACACACCCUCAACACAGUUGUAGAAAAAGUUUUGACUAUACUUGACUUAUUUUAGACUUCAAAACAUGCAUUUUUUGCCAACCAAUUAAGAAUUUUAAAAAAGAAGGAAAAGAAAGGAGAAGAGGAGAUAGAGGACUCCGUAGAACAGGGUUUAAGAAAUUUCAACUCUUACCUUAAACAUCUUAAGCUAUAUGCAGGCCAUACUUUUUUAGUCAUAACACAAAAAAUCUUAUUCAACUACAAUUUGAUAUUUCCACAUUCACAAAGUAAUCUUUGAAAAGUUUGCAAAGUGGUAGAGAGGUAGCAAUCAACCUAAAGGAUGGCUUGCUAUUUGUUAGAAAAAUUGUUUUCAAUAGACUCGUAUCAGUGCAAUAUUGAUGUUUUUCAUGUGAUGUAAAACAGUUUUGACUCGUAUCAGUGAAAAUGAGUUUUGUUUGGCCAAUAAUUGUUAUCCUAAGUUGCACAAUGAAGCUUUUCAACAUUUUGUUUGAACAAGUAAAAAAGGAGCUAAAGAGGUGGGAAAUGCAAGUAUUUAAAUGAUUCUCUUAAAAGUCAGCCAUAUGCACUGUUGCAUGAAUUGUGCCUACCAUCUGUACCUAUUGAUGCUGGAUCCUUUAGAUUAUCCGUUAGAUGACCAACCAUGAUUGUCCAUUAAAUGUUGACCACUUUGAAACUUUUGCAGUAUUUAUCAAACUCUGCCCUUGCUAAUACUAGUGUGGCCAAUACGACAGUGUUGACUUCAACAUCAGGGCUCUUCACUCUAUUCUUUGCAGCACUCAUUGGUCAGGAUUCCAUAAAUGUUGCUAAGGUUCUUGCUGUAUUUGUUAGUAUUGCUGGUGUUCUCAUGACCACCAUUGGGAAAACAUGGGCUUCGGAUGAAAUGCUGAGUGCCUCUCAGUAAGUAUUAUUCGUUGAAAGCUUUCUACAUUUUCCCCUCAACAAUCAUGUACAAUAAAUUGCUCCCAUUUUUAUUUUUUUUGGAAAUUCUCUUUAUUAAGUUGCAUCUUUGACACUUGAUUUCUCCAUAUGGUGUAGACUCUUUUUUAGUAUUUCACCUUAGUGACUUCUUCCAGAAGAAUAUCUGGCAAAAUAAAUGUUUUCCCAAUAUGCAAGCCCUCUAAAAAUUUAUGACAAGUUCUCCAAAAAAAGUGGAAAUCUCUGAAAAAUAAAGCGAACUGAUGGAAACUAGAUUACUAUAUGGCAUUGACAAUGGUUUGAACCUAAAUGCUUAGUGGUCAAACUUGUUUAUAGUACGAUCUUAUGGUGUUUCAUUAUCUGAUGUGAACUCAACUUCAAUGAAUAAUGGAUGUAGUAAUAAUCAAACCAAACAUAUUGUAUAAAAAUGUACACCGUGUCAGAAAUAUCAAAGAUUUUUUUUACUGAAACACAGACGGUAGGUGAAAAUCUCAAAAGUUGGUACAUAUGUAUGAAGAUAUAUACGGUCAUCUUUCUUUGUCAGUUGCCGCCAUAACUAAAACUCUCACAACUAGCGGUGACGUUUCUUUCUACCCUCAGGAACUUUGCUCAGCCCAAAAAGUACCAUUGUUGACAAUCACUAAUUCUUUUGAACACAAUGUGAUGGAUAUCACAUCAGUUGUUAACUUGGCGUGUAUGUCUAACACAUCAUCUGUCAUGCUCUGAACCUAGGCAUUUCUUGACAGUGCACAAUUACAUAUAUGCCCAUUUUCAUGAAAACCUUGGACAGUCUCAUGCCUACAAGGCUACCAAUCCCAAACUUAGCCAUAUGGAAGCUUAUCAUAAAUACACACUACUGUCACCCAAUCCUUUUAAUAGGACAUUCUCAUUUUCUGCCUAGUGUUGAUUUGUCUCUUUUUGUUUGGCACUAUCUCAGUCCUGCCAAAACUUUGUGAGCCUCCUAGAAUAACUGACCAGAGAUUUACCUCAAUGACCAUUACUUUCCUCAGUAUAAGUAGUGGAAAGAGUGUAUUAACUGGCAAGAAAUCCCACUCAGAAUUUUCAUAGCUUUCGUAUUUGCAAAUGCAUGCAUCUGAGUCAAAACAUCAGGCCUACUUAUAACUCGCCUGCACCUAGGGUCAUGCUGAUUCUCUGAAGCAAGUUUUUCCUGCACUUUUUAUGUACUAUUUGAAUAAAUACCACUAGGCGUUGUUUCACUUUCUAUAUUUGGACUGAUUGAGGUUCCACAUGUGGUUGGGCUGCUGGACAGUUAGCAUUCCGCCAUAUUCAAGAUGUUAAAACUGCAGAGCUCUAUUUUUGUCAAGAAGAUUACUAACUGGUGCAUACAGUGGAGAUCUGAAGUUUCCAAAGUGAGCUCUUGUAAAUCUUGUACCUGAAGAAGGAAGUCAAAGGAAUGUUUUGAAUUGACAAAAAGCUAUGUGACACAAAUCAUAAACAUGCAAAGUUCUGAGUAAUAUACUAUAAAUUAUAAUAAUCUAGUAGUACUGAAUACAUGCACUAAGCACCCAUGCUUGUCAUUCAUCAGCUAAUCAUUUUUCAGUAGAGUAUCCUCGCAAGUAACACACUUUAUUUUCACUUAACACUUGCAUUAUUUCCCUUAUACUGGCAUUCUCAUGUCAGGACCCAAUGGUUAUGAUUUAAUUUGCUUUUGAAGACAGAUUAUCAAGUAAUAUUUUGAAAUGCUUUUAUGACAGUGUUAGAUAUUACAUUUUUUUUUGUUUUAAUGAAAUAUAUUCAGGUAUAGCAUGUGUCUCUACAUUUUUAUGUUCAUGAUAUCAUCCCGUUGUUAACUAUGCUUUCCAAGCAGAAACCACGGGGGUGCUAGGAUAAAGUUUCUCCCAUAUUGUUGUUUCAUGUAGUGUACAUUUUCACUUAUCUUUGAAUUUUUCCUAUAGAAUGAGGAGGCUUUUCCUCAUAUAGGACAUUUCCAGAAAAAAACAUUGUGAUUGGAAUUUACCAUGCGAAUUCAACAGCAGAAGCCUCUUCUAUGUCUUUCCACUAAAGGGCAAACAGAAAGAGAGAAACCAAAGCUUUUACUCUCUACCAUAAGAGUUACCUAGACUUUUUUCUUAUUAGUCAAGUGGUAAGCUAGGGCACUAUUUGACGAAGAAAAUAUACUUCAGAAAAAUAGUUCACGUAGCUCAGCUGGUUAGAGCAAAGGACUGAAAAGGUAGCCACUACAAAGAAGUUCUGGGAGCUUAAGAAUGAAGCGUCUAGCUCAUAUUGGUCAUGAGUCGAGAACAGGAAUUGAAUUUAUCCUUCGCCUCCCUCAGCUUCUCUUAAGAAACUUGAAAUUGGAUUGAUGACAAAAGAGAAUCCUGGGUCUCCAUUGGGCCCUCUUAUCUGUUCCUUCUCUGAGCUUGCACAAUACGUCCAAUUGAUUAGAAUUAAAAAAUUCUCUCCCUAUUGUUACAAGCAUACAAUUCAUGGGGAGAUAAAGAAAUAGAUCUAGCUGAGUGCCUGUGGAACUCCUGUUGAUGGUUCAAUCAAUUACUUCGUUGGAAUGUUUGCUAAUGAUUUUAAUAAAAUCUGGCCCAAAUCCUUUUUUCCUUAUUGAUUUUAUUCUUUUCUUUCAACUUCCAAAUAAAAAGAUCUAAUGUUUAUUCAAGUUCCUAGUAAAUACCAAGCAAGAUUUCAUUGGUUCGGUCUUUUGUUUAUUUGGAUCAUAAAAAAUUAUCGAUUUGAAGAGGCUGUAAGAAAAGAAAAAUCAAUUUUUUCCAUGUUUCAUAAUAUGCUUAACCAACAUGGCGACAGUCAUGCAGUAAACAGAGCUACUGAUCCAUGCCGCUACGAAAGACAUUGGAAAUCUAAACUGCCUGGAAGUAACCAUUCGGUAGCAUUGAGAAAGGGCAGAUGUAUAGAACUUUUCGACGUGAUAGUAUUAGACAUAACACGAUCCAUUACUUUAUGAGGGAAAAAAGUCCACAUCUAUUCUUUCUUACAAUUUCUUUGUACUAACAUGACUUGCAUGUCUAUUUACUUGACAAGUCCAGUUUAUGUGCUAGAUCUUAAUAAGAUCUUCUUGCCUGAUCGUCCUAGAUUAGUUUUAAUAUCUAAUUGCUCAAGAGGUCUCUGCUUUUUCCUCUAGUAUUUCUUUAUUGUUCACUUUAUUAAUUAAAUUUGCUUUACAUUGCCUAGGAGUAAAAGACAUAGCAUCAUUGGAGAUUUUUUUGGUCUUCUCUCGGCAGUGUCCUACGGCUUAUUUACGGGUAUAGAAUAUACUUUCAUCGAGAGGUUCUGUUUAUUUAUUUUAAUUUAUAUUUUGCUUCAGUGAAGUGGACGACUUUUUCUAAAUAAAUGCAACCUCAAAUCCAGUGCUACUAAAGAGAUCUGCUGGAUCAGAUGGCGAGAGAGUUGAUAUGCAGAAGCUUCUUCUCAUAGAUCCAUCAAUUGAACUGGAUGUUCCUCUAAGAGCAAGUGAAACUACCUUUGAUUCAAGGGACAUGUUGAAGAGCUGCGAUCUUGAUGAUACAGACCUAAAUGCAACAGAAGAAGUGCUAUUGACGUUUGACCGAGAUGAUGAAAUUCCUAUACUUGAAAAGGCUUAUAAACUUAGUUCGUGGGAAAUUGUCAAAUGCAGCUUUUAUCUUGCUCCAAUAUGGUUUGCGACUGAGGUAAUUGUUUUAUUCGAUUGUUGGCUUCAAAAUCACAUCUUAUCUUAAUACACACCC
Molecule: long non-coding RNA, 4943 nt
Filed under: Coffea arabica (coffee)
Lineage: Eukaryota; Viridiplantae; Streptophyta; Magnoliopsida; Gentianales; Rubiaceae
Description: long non-coding RNA (CARA_LNC005710)
Source: RNAcentral